AACGUAGGUGGCAAGCGUUAUCCGGAAUUACUGGGCGUAAAGGGUGUGCAGGCGGGACCACAAGUGGUGUAUGAAAUCUCCCAGCUUAACUGGGAGGGGUUAUGCCAGACUGUGGUUCUAGAGGACGAGAGAGGGGGGUGGAAUUCCGGGUGUAGUGGUGAAAUGCGUAGAGAUCCGGAGGAACCCCAGAGGCGAAGGCGGCCCCCUGGCUCGUACCUGACGCUCAGCCACGAAAGCAUGGGGAGCGAACGGG
RNAcentral lists this ribosomal RNA (253 nucleotides) under uncultured bacterium. RNAcentral describes it as "partial 16S ribosomal RNA". It matches the Rfam family "Bacterial small subunit ribosomal RNA", at positions 524 to 776 of the family's 1533-position model. The record is from RNAcentral.